AGCUAAAGGAGCUGAGCAGGUCCAAGCAGCAACCUUUGCAGGCAGCAGCCAUGCUGGAGUUGGAGAUGCUGCGGCAGCAGUUACAGGAGACAGAGUGGAGAGUGCAGGCCCUGCAGGCCUGUGUGAUGGAGCAGAAAGCAGAGAGCCGUUCUCUGCAAGAGCAGCUGACCAAGCAGACAGCUGUGCUGGGACUGGUGCAUGGAUGCUUCAGGCAGGCCUGGCUGCAGCUGCAGCAUCAGGCAACCGAGAUAGACGCUUUACAAAUCUCCCUGGAGGCAUCCCGCGCUGGCCACCACUGGCUGCACCAGGAGAGCGAACUGGUGGUGGCUGAUGUGCGCCAGUGGGUAAAGGAGCAAAAGUGAGUGUU
RNAcentral lists this long non-coding RNA (367 nucleotides) under Notechis scutatus (mainland tiger snake). RNAcentral's name for it is "lncRNA (ENSNSUG00000020381.1)". The record is from RNAcentral. Lineage: Eukaryota; Metazoa; Chordata; Lepidosauria; Squamata; Elapidae.